RNAcentral lists this transfer RNA (72 nucleotides) under Ovis aries (sheep). It matches the Rfam family "tRNA". Rfam says of the family: Transfer RNA (tRNA) molecules are approximately 80 nucleotides in length. Their secondary structure includes four short double-helical elements and three loops (D, anti-codon, and T loops). The record is from Rfam by way of RNAcentral. Lineage: Eukaryota; Metazoa; Chordata; Mammalia; Artiodactyla; Bovidae.
UCCCUAGUAGCACAGAUGGUAGAGCAUCUGCCUGCAGUGCAGGAGACCUGGGUUCGAUUCCUGGGUUGGGAA